AGAGACGGAGGAGGGAGGUCUAGCCUGACGCUCUGUGCAAAACCCACACAACUUUGCAAGUUCACGCUUCUGCACCCAGACGCCCAUUCAUCUUCGCCGUGAUCCUCAACCCAACCGCCAGGCGACGCAAUCUUAACAACCUCGAACGCCUCGCUGGCUGACGUAUGAAUUGUUAUGACUGAAUGAUACACGGACUGCGGCGGCUCCCACUGGCACCUUAAUGAUAACAAGACAGAGCUAAAAACUCAAUGUUCUCACGCACCAAGCGCGCCCCAGGACGCGCCUGAUCCUCGGAUGUAAAGACGAAGAGGAAGUAAUCUAAGUAAGGAACCACUCGAG
Molecule: long non-coding RNA, 339 nt
Filed under: Volvox carteri
Lineage: Eukaryota; Viridiplantae; Chlorophyta; Chlorophyceae; Chlamydomonadales; Volvocaceae
Description: long non-coding RNA (VCAR_LNC001963)
Source: RNAcentral